RNAcentral lists this ribosomal RNA (391 nucleotides) under uncultured bacterium. RNAcentral describes it as "bacterial SSU rRNA". It matches the Rfam family "Bacterial small subunit ribosomal RNA", at positions 363 to 771 of the family's 1533-position model. The record is from RNAcentral.
AUUGGUCAAUGGGCGAGAGCCUGAACCAGCCAAGUAGCGUGAGUGAAGAAGUAUUUCGGUAUGUAAAGCUCUAUCAGCAGGGAAGAGAAUGACGGUACCUGACUAAGAAGCCCCGGCUAACUACGUGCCAGCAGCCGCGGUAAUACGUAGGGGGCAAGCGUUAUCCGGAUUUACUGGGUGUAAAGGGAGCGUAGACGGCAUAGCAAGUCUGAAGUGAAAUACCCGGGCUCAACCUGGGAACUGCUUUGGAAACUGUUAAGCUAGAGUGCUGGAGAGGCAAGCGGAAUUCCUAGUGUAGCGGUGAAAUGCGUAGAUAUUAGGAGGAACACCAGUGGCGAAGGCGGCUUGCUGGACAGUAACUGACGUUGAGGCUCGAAAGCGUGGGGAGCAA